GCCCGGCUAGCUCAAUUGGUCAGAGCGUGUGACUUUUAGAAAUAAACGUUAUCCCAAGGUUGAGAGUUCGAGUCUCUCGUCGGGCG
Molecule: non-coding RNA, 86 nt
Organism: Myriangium duriaei CBS 260.36
Lineage: Eukaryota; Fungi; Ascomycota; Dothideomycetes; Myriangiales; Myriangiaceae
Source: the annotation of a GenBank genome assembly